GAUCAUGGCUCAGGAUGAACGCUAGCUACAGGCUUAACACAUGCAAGUCGGAGGGGAAACGAUAUUGGAAGCUUGCUUCCGAUAGGCGUCGACCGGCGCACGGGUGAGUAACGCGUAUCCAACCUGCCCACCACUUGGGGAUAACCGUUGCGAAAGUAAGACUAAUACCCAAUGAUAUCUCUAGAAGACAUCUGAAAGAGAUUAAAGAUUCAUCGGUGAUGGAUGGGG
RNAcentral lists this ribosomal RNA (228 nucleotides) under uncultured bacterium. Its description in RNAcentral is "partial 16S ribosomal RNA". It matches the Rfam family "Bacterial small subunit ribosomal RNA", at positions 15 to 230 of the family's 1533-position model. The record is from RNAcentral.